Octopus sinensis (East Asian common octopus) is the source of this 467-nucleotide long non-coding RNA. RefSeq lists it as uncharacterized. NCBI's taxonomy places the organism in Eukaryota, Metazoa, Mollusca, Cephalopoda, Octopoda, Octopodidae. The record is from RefSeq and is a predicted model, not a curated record. The transcript has 3 exons.
UAUAAAUACAAGCUUCGCUGUCAAUAUUCACGAGGAUUUCUUCUUCAAACAACAUGUUUCAACCGUGUAUCCUGGUGUACUCUCCCCUUUCAUCGCUACCCCGUACUGUCAUGGGACGAAAAAGCAAAGAAGGGGUCAUUAGUUCAGAGGGACCCAAGUCUUCUGUUCUGUGUAGAUGAAGAACAGAGAGAUAAAGUAAUGGAUAUCUGAGACCAACUUUGGAGCCAUGCAGCUGCGGAUCUUAUUGCGGAUUCAGUAAAAUGUAAGUUUUACAAGUAUGACACUGGCUUCAGCAGUCAACAAGUUAAGAAGAAAAGCAGGCGAUAACUCGCCGCAAGGACAAGUACAGAACAUUGAAGAAAGAAUAAUUCCUUCGAAAAAAACAUUUCGUUAUUUCAUAAACAGAUAAUAAAGCUUUCAGUUCAUUACCGACUAGAAUAGGCAUCAUUAUUACAUUAGUUGUACCU